This 620-nucleotide ribosomal RNA is filed under the name uncultured beta proteobacterium. Its description in RNAcentral is "bacterial SSU rRNA". It matches the Rfam family "Bacterial small subunit ribosomal RNA", at positions 103 to 719 of the family's 1533-position model. The record is from RNAcentral. Lineage: Bacteria; Pseudomonadati; Pseudomonadota; Betaproteobacteria.
CGGGUGAGUAAUACAUCGGAACAUGUCCUGUAGUGGGGGAUAGCCCGGCGAAAGCCGGAUUAAUACCGCAUACGAUCUACGGAUGAAAGCGGGGGACCUUCGGGCCUCGCGCUAUAGGGUUGGCCGAUGGCUGAUUAGCUAGUUGGUGGGGUAAAGGCCUACCAAGGCGACGAUCAGUAGCUGGUCUGAGAGGACGACCAGCCACACUGGGACUGAGACACGGCCCAGACUCCUACGGGAGGCAGCAGUGGGGAAUUUUGGACAAUGGGCGAAAGCCUGAUCCAGCAAUGCCGCGUGUGUGAAGAAGGCCUUCGGGUUGUAAAGCACUUUUGUCCGGAAAGAAAUCCUUGGUUCUAAUAUAGCCGGGGGAUGACGGUACCGGAAGAAUAAGCACCGGCUAACUACGUGCCAGCAGCCGCGGUAAUACGUAGGGUGCGAGCGUUAAUCGGAAUUACUGGGCGUAAAGCGUGCGCAGGCGGUUUGCUAAGACCGAUGUGAAAUCCCCGGGCUCAACCUGGGAACUGCAUUGGUGACUGGCAGGCUAGAGUAUGGCAGAGGGGGGUAGAAUUCCACGUGUAGCAGUGAAAUGCGUAGAGAUGUGGAGGAAUACCGAUGGCGAA